Molecule: ribosomal RNA, 301 nt
Filed under: uncultured bacterium
Lineage: Bacteria
Description: partial 16S ribosomal RNA
Rfam family: Bacterial small subunit ribosomal RNA
Source: RNAcentral
CAGUAGCCGCGGUAAAACGGAGGGAGCUAGCGUUAUUCGGAAUUACUGGGCAUAAAGCGCACGUAGGCGGCUUUGUAAGUUAGAGGUGAAAGCCUGGAGCUCAACUCCAGAAUUGCCUUUAAGACUGCAUCGCUUGAAUCCAGGAGAGGUGAGUGGAAUUCCGAGUGUAGAGGUGAAAUUCGUAGAUAUUCGGAAGAACACCAGUGGCGAAGGCGGCUCACUGGACUGGUAUUGACGCUGAGGUGCGAAAGCGUGGGGAGCAAACAGGAUUAGAUACCCGCGUAGUCCCUGUCUCUUAUAA